GCCACUUGUAUAUUCGUCAACAGUGUAGUUAGCUGUAUCUGUUAGCCGAAGUUCGUCGUAAUUGGACUGCUAACUGAGCUGCAACUGCUUCUAUCUGGUUGGGAUGACUCUCACACCAUGGUUUGAGCUUCUCAGUGAGAAGAAACUUUUAGAGCAUUUGUCAGGGCCUUCACCAGACCCCUCCGCAGCCGAGCUGAUCGUCAAGUUGAUCGCGUACGCGCCGCGACCGGCCACGGCCGCCGCCGCCGCCACCACUAAUGCCGAGGUGGAGGUGGUGCCGGCCGGCGACGGC
Molecule: long non-coding RNA, 292 nt
Organism: Pollicipes pollicipes
Lineage: Eukaryota; Metazoa; Arthropoda; Thecostraca; Pollicipedomorpha; Pollicipedidae
Exons: 3
Source: RefSeq, a predicted model, not a curated record